GAAUUUUGGACAAUGGGGGCAACCCUGAUCCAGCCAUCCCGCGUGUGCGAUGAAGGCCUUCGGGUUGUAAAGCACUUUUUGCAGGGAAGAAAAGGCUCUGGCUAAUACCUGGAGCUGCUGACGGUACCUGCAGAAUAAGCACCGGCUAACUACGUGCCAGCAGCCGCCGUAAUACGUAGGGUGCAAGCGGUAAUCGGAAUUACUGGGCGUAAAGCGAGCGUAGGUGGCUUGAUAAGUCAGAUGUGAAAUCCCAGGGCUUAACCUUGGAACUGCAUUCUUAACUGCCGGGCUAGAGUAUGUCAGAGGGGGGUAGAAUUCCGCGUGUAGCAGUGAAAUGCGUAGAGAUGCGGAGGAAUACCGAUGGCGAAGGCAGCCCCCUGGGAUAAUACUGACGCUCAUGCACGAAAGCGUGGGGAGCAAAC
This 422-nucleotide ribosomal RNA is filed under the name uncultured bacterium. Its description in RNAcentral is "bacterial SSU rRNA". It matches the Rfam family "Bacterial small subunit ribosomal RNA", at positions 359 to 773 of the family's 1533-position model. The record is from RNAcentral.